AUUGAACGCUGGCGGCAGGCUUAACACAUGCAAGUCGAGCGGAGAGAGGUAGCUUGCUACUGAUCUUAGCGGCGGACGGGUGAGUAAUGCUUAGGAAUCUGCCUAUUAGUGGGGGACAACAUUUCGAAAGGAAUGCUAAUACCGCAUACGUCCUACGGGAGAAAGCAGGGGAUCUUCGGACCUUGCGCUAAUAGAUGAGCCUAAGUCGGAUUGGCUAGUUGGUGGGGUAAAGGCCUACCAAGGCGACGAUCUGUAGCGGGUCUGAGAGGAUGAUCCGCCACACUGGGACUGAGACACGGCCCAGACUCCUACGGGAGGCAGCAGUGGGGAAGAUUGGACAAUGGGCGGAAGCCUGAGCCAGCCAUGCCGCGUGUGUGAAGAAGGCCUUAUGGUUGUAAAGCACUUUAAGCGAGGAGGAGGCUACUUUAGUUAAUACCUAGAGAUAGUGGACGUUACUCGCAGAAUAAGCACCGGCUAACUCUGUGCCAGCAGCCGCGGUAA
RNAcentral lists this ribosomal RNA (501 nucleotides) under uncultured bacterium. Its description in RNAcentral is "partial 16S ribosomal RNA". It matches the Rfam family "Bacterial small subunit ribosomal RNA", at positions 30 to 523 of the family's 1533-position model. The record is from RNAcentral.